Molecule: long non-coding RNA, 449 nt
Organism: Sycon ciliatum
Lineage: Eukaryota; Metazoa; Porifera; Calcarea; Leucosolenida; Sycettidae
Exons: 3
Source: RefSeq, a predicted model, not a curated record
CGUCAAUGGAGCUUGUGUGUUAUGUCCCCACGGCCGAUAUGGCGACAACUGUUCUAUGUCUUGUUCUUGCCCAAACAAUGGAACCUGCAGUGGUAUCACUGGGCAAUGUACAUGUACUGCUGGCUAUCACGGAUUACGUUGUCAGGCAGAAUGUUCUACCGGUUAUUUUGGUCUCGGGUGCUCGCAGGAAUGCACUCAAUGUCCAAAUUUAUAUGGGUUCCGCCAUUGCCAUCAUAUCUCCGGAGAGUGCCAGUGCCCAGUCGGUCUCACAGGGGACCAGUGUCAAACAACGAUUACUUGUGGCCAACCGGAAAACAACACUUUGCACUAUAGCCUCUCCACUGGGCAGGGUACGGUGUACUCAAGUCAACGGUAUGUAAUUUGCAACCAAUUUUACGAACCUGACACUACAGUUCCCCAGUCAAUUUACUGUCAGAAUAAUGCCAAAU